Long non-coding RNA from Heterocephalus glaber (naked mole-rat), 1051 nucleotides. The record is from Ensembl. Lineage: Eukaryota; Metazoa; Chordata; Mammalia; Rodentia; Bathyergidae.
AGAUGAGGAAAAUAAGGCUCAGACUGCAACGAAGAGGAAAGCGACCUUUUGGCGGCCAGAGCAGGAUGGCACCCCAGCUGGCUUUGGUGUGCUCUGUCCUGUGAAACAUACACGAUGUUACAGGGCCACUCUGACAAUGAUGGGUGACAACAAAAACAACUUUGUCUAAAAGCCCACAUUGACCAGACAGCUCAUCGAAGGGAUGGCUGCUGCUUUAGCAAUGGCAGAGUGGCUUAAGGAGAGGCACUCAGAGACAACAGGAAAGGUCUAAGGCCCUUGCUCCCACCCGCUCCCUGGCAGAGCCUCGUGAGGUCAUCGGCUUUGGCUCACAGCUGGACAGAAGGGGCCAGGGGUCUGGUGUCUUUUGUCUUUUCCCUUCUGUUCAGCCAACCUGCUCCUCCUCCAGUGCCUGAGAACGGAUCACAAAGGUCAGGACAAAGGUCAGGAUCCUCUGGUGUACAAGGAACCAAAAAUAACGUCCCCAGCGCAAGGCAAAGUGUCACGGGGAGGCACUCAUGGGAAGAGAAGGCGGAGUCUCUUGAGAAGCAAGGGUGAAGAGCGGCUUCUCACAGGAGUGCAGCCAAAAUUCACGUGACCCAGCGGGGUCUGAAAACCUCCACCUGAGAAAUGAAAGUUGCCCUGGCUGGGGAUCACACUGCACCCCUGCUGGGAGCAAUGCUACAUAAUUCUAGGGAAAAAUCAUUUGGUUAGCCUAGUUCUCUUGCCUACAGCCCAGCUACAGAAUAACUCCAGUUUGGCCUCCCGUCACAACUGAGACUUCAGUGAUCCAGUGAUGCUGUGAUCCUCCAGGACAAGAAACAUCCUGGGAGAACAAACAUCUGCUCAGUUCCUCCUUGUUCUUGGACUGUUAACAUCUUGUUUGCCGGAGAUGUACCGAACUCUCUGCAAGCCUUUUGUUACACCUUGUUUAUCCCAAUGUGAACUACUGAACUCUCUGCAAGUCAUUUGUUACAUUUGUUUCUCCCGAUGUACUGAAUUCUCUGCAAGUCAUUUGUUACGAGGUACUGAAUAAAAGGUGUGGUAAACUGGG